This is a long non-coding RNA of Ipomoea nil (Japanese morning glory), 139 nucleotides long. RefSeq lists it as uncharacterized. The transcript is spliced from 3 exons. Lineage: Eukaryota; Viridiplantae; Streptophyta; Magnoliopsida; Solanales; Convolvulaceae. The record is from RefSeq and is a predicted model, not a curated record.
UCGUCGGAACCGCGGCUGCCGACGGUGGUCUGGUAGAAACCGUUGUUGUCUCGGGUGGUGUGGGAGGAAAGAGUGGAGAGAAGAGAAUGAAGGUUGGCUUUAUAGGUGCUGUUAGGAGUGUAAAGAAGUCUUGUUUACG